CCUAAGAAUAAAGAAAUUUUUAAGAGAUAAAAGUAUUUCAUGGCCAAUGUUUGUAUUAAUGGAUCAUUCCCUUAAGGGGAGGAUACCAUUUAUUGUCAUGUGGUUGGUAAUAAGCAAUGUAAAUUCCUGAAAUUUUGAGAUUGUGAUUGCUGCUUAAUACAUAAAAUAUUAACUAAUACAGUACCCGAAGUAGGAUGUUGUCAUUCCUAAGUUAUAUGGUAUUGUCCUCAGGGUCAACUAGCAAAUGGCAAGGAAACUUAGGGAUGACCUGAAAGAUGGUGAUCUAUGCUUCAUAAUGAUAAGCUCUUAAUGAAACCAUCACAAUAAUUUAAAGACAAUACCUAGUUAAUUCAUGGCUUUAGGUGAUGUGGGGAAUGUUAGCAUGUUUGGUCCUACUAACUACAUUUCACAAGAUACUAUAAGAAAAGUGAAUCUAGGAAAUAACUGCCCAGUUUGCAAACAGCAUUGAAAGGGAAUAUACAGAGCCCCCAAAUUCUAAGACUUAGAGGCUAAACAAUGGAACUAUAUUUUCUAUGGGUAAAGGAUAGAAUUGAGAAAUUAUUUUUAUUAGUAAAGUCUGGAGACAAAUAUUAAAUCACAGGUCUUUAUCCCCUUAAUUAAAACCUUAAUUUGGAUUAAGGUACACUUCAUUGAAUCCUUAUUUUGGCUAAAAUGACAGCAAUUAAGUCUAAUGAGACAGGUAACUCUUGAGACACAAACAUGUCUGAAAGAUUAUGGCACUGGCUGGAAUCAAUAACAAGAACUGAUUUAAAACAUUCUUUGGCCUUUGAAUAUUCCAUGUGCAAGAAACAAUGAGGGGGGAAAAAUACAGGAUGAAGAAGCUGCUCAGCACCUAAGACUGGUAUAAUCACUACUUUUGGAUGUAGCCAAAGUUUAUACUGGAAGAAGAAAAUAACCUCCCAAAGAAUGGAGCUGAAGGUCAUGAAAAAUAAGACUAGGAAGCUAGAUAAUGAAGGAAACUUCAAGGAAAAGCAAAAAUACCCAUCUCCACACAAGGGGCCCUCAAAAGGUUUGCCUACUAGGAUUUCAGAAUUUGUGCACCAGUAAUUGUAGUGUGCCUUAUAUUUUUCCAUUUCUGAAAUGAGACUAUUAAUUAUGGUUAUCUGUCUCCAUUCCCCAUUGUAUGGUGAAUAGAAUUCAGGGGGUAGAUAACUUGGCAUGUCAUUGGUCUGUAGUUAAAGGAACAAACCACAGACUAUAUAUAAUGACAAAAUCCUGUAUUUUGGAAUAUUGGUACUGAGAUUAGAGGUAUUUUCCUUGAAGAAAGAAUCAAGUAUCUGUGACCAAGAGGACAAAUGGGUAGACCAUAGGACUGGUCCCAACUGUUUGUUCUUUUUCUACAAGGGGAUUAUACAUCCAUGCCAAGUGACUUCCUGUGAUUACCUAUGAAAAGAAUAUACUUUCCAGUCCUACUGGUGUAUGAUUUGGCUUUGUGAGAUGCUUUGGUCAAUGAAAUAUAAGCAGAAGUGACAUAUGCCAUGCCUAAGUAGAAGUUUUAGAUCCACUGCAUAGGUUGGCCAUUUCUAUUUUACCUCUCCUAGGAAAAUGACAUAUCUCAGAUGGGAACUGCCCCUUCACCUGGAUCUAGGAAUGUGCAAGCAAGACUCAUGGAGCUGAUGUGUAACCUGAGCAAAUUAUUAUAAGCCCUUGAAAUGUUGGAGUUUGCUACUAUUACAAUAUAAUACAGUGAAUGCUGACUGGUACAAAUUUAACAUACAUCUGGCCCUCUGUAUCUGAAGGUUCUAUAUCUGUGGAUUCAACCUACCUUGGAUUGAUGAAAAUGAGUUACUGAAAAGAGCCCUUCAUGAAUACCAAGGGACUACUGUGUUAACUAUUCAACUUACCUUAGAAACACUAAGGUCACAGAGAGAGACUUUAUUAAUACCAGGGAUCGAACUCAGGACCUUGCGCUUGCAAGGCAGGCGGCAGAACCACUGAGCUAAAUCUCCAGCCCUGUUUAGCAUUUUUGUAUGGAUUAAAAGCACCCAUAAAAUUACAGUAUUGAAUUUGCAUACAGGUACACUAAUUUGUCAUAAUUUUACUGCCAAAUAAAAUAUUUUACUUGAAAUGUUUUUGCCAAGUAAAAUUUAGUCCAUAUUCAUAUGUAUAUAUAUUUGUUGUUGUUGUACUGGCCUUACUUUAAGUUAUAUCCCUAUCCCCAUCUUCCUUCCCUCUUUUCUUUUCUUUCCUUUUGUUUUCUUUUUUGAGACAGGGUCUCACUAUGUUCAGACUAGCCUUGAACUCACUAUGUAGCUCUGGCUGGCCUCAAACUUAACAUAAUCCCCCUGCUCAGUUCCCCUAGUGCUGGGAUUACAGGCAUGUGCCACCAUCCCUGGCUAUCCUUUUUAUUUUUUUAACAUAAGUUCUCCCUAAAUUGCCCAGGCUGACCUCAAACUUGUGACCCUCCUGCCUCAGCCUCCUAAGUAGCUGGAUUAUAGGCAUGUGUUCCUGUACCUGG
Heterocephalus glaber (naked mole-rat) is the source of this 2479-nucleotide non-coding RNA. Lineage: Eukaryota; Metazoa; Chordata; Mammalia; Rodentia; Bathyergidae. The record is from RefSeq and is a predicted model, not a curated record.